UAAGCAUAUCAAUAAGCGGAGGAAAAGAAACCAACAGGGAUUGCCUCAGUAACGGCGAGUGAAGCGGCAACAGCUCAAAUUUGAAAUCUGGGUCCUUUGGGCCCCGAGUUGUAAUUUGCAGAAGAUGCUUCGGGCGCGGCUCCGCUCUAACUUCCCUGGAACGGGAGGCCACAGAGGGUGAGAGCCCCGUAUGUGAUCGGCAGCCUGCGCCCGUGUGAAGCUCUUUCGACGAGUCGAGUUGUUUGGGAAUGCAGCUCUAAAUGGGUGGUAUAUUUCAUCUAAAGCUAAAUACUGGCCAGAGACCGAUAGCGCACAAGUAGAGUGAUCGAAAGAUGAAAAGCACUUUGGAAAGAGAGUUAAACAGUACGUGAAAUUGUUGAAAGGGAAGCGCUUGCAACCAGACUUGGGCGGGGUCGAUCAUCCGGGGCUCUCCCUGGUGCACUCGGCCUCGCGCAGGCCAGCAUCGGUUUCGGUGGUUGGAUAAAGGCUUUGGGAAUGUAGCUCCUCUUGGGGAGUGUUAUAGCCCUCGGUGCAAUGCAGCCCACUGGGACCGAGGACCGCGCUUCGGCUAGGAUGCUGGCGUAAUGGUUGUAAGCGACCCGUCUUGAAACACGGACCAAGGAGUCUAACAUCUAUGCGAGUGUUUGGGUGUCAAACCCAUGCGCGUAAUGAAAGUGAACGGAGGUGAGAACCCUGAAGGGUGCAUCAUCGACCGAUCCUGAUGUCUUCGGAUGGAUUUGAGUAAGAGCAUGGCUGUUGGGACCCGAAAGAUGGUGAACUAUGCCUGAAUAGGGUGAAGCCAGAGGAAACUCUGGUGGAGGCUCGCAGCGGUUCUGACGUGCAAAUCGAUCGUCAAAUUUGGGUAUAGGGGCGAAAGACUAAUCGAACCAUCUAGUAGCUGGUUCCUGCC
Molecule: ribosomal RNA, 910 nt
Filed under: Cashiella sticheri
Lineage: Eukaryota; Fungi; Ascomycota; Leotiomycetes; Helotiales
Description: eukaryotic LSU rRNA
Rfam family: Eukaryotic large subunit ribosomal RNA
Source: RNAcentral